RNAcentral lists this ribosomal RNA (1036 nucleotides) under Nocardiopsis sp. Its description in RNAcentral is "bacterial SSU rRNA". It matches the Rfam family "Bacterial small subunit ribosomal RNA", at positions 305 to 1337 of the family's 1533-position model. The record is from RNAcentral. Lineage: Bacteria; Bacillati; Actinomycetota; Actinomycetes; Streptosporangiales; Nocardiopsidaceae.
CGGCCACACUGGGACUGAGACACGGCCCAGACUCCUGCGGGAGGCAGCAGUGGGGAAUAUUGCGCAAUGGGCGAAAGCCUGACGCAGCGACGCCGCGUGGGGGAUGACGGCCUUCGGGUUGUAAACCUCUUUUACCACCAACGCAGGCUCCCAGUUCUCUGGGGGUUGACGGUAGGUGGGGAAUAAGGACCGGCUAACUACGUGCCAGCAGCCGCGGUAAUACGUAGGGUCCGAGCGUUGUCCGGAAUUAUUGGGCGUAAAGAGCUCGUAGGCGGCGUGUCGCGUCUGCUGUGAAAAGACCGGGGCUUAACUCCGGUUCUGCAGUGGAUACGGGCAUGCUAGAGGUAGGUAGGGGAGACUGGAAUUCCUGGUGUAGCGGUGAAAUGCGCAGAUAUCAGGAGGAACACCGGUGGCGAAGGCGGGUCUCUGGGCCUUACCUGACGCUGAGGAGCGAAAGCAUGGGGAGCGAACAGGAUUAGAUACCCUGGUAGUCCAUGCCGUAAACGUUGGGCGCUAGGUGUGGGGACUUUCCACGGUUUCCGCGCCGUAGCUAACGCAUUAAGCGCCCCGCCUGGGGAGUACGGCCGCAAGGCUAAAACUCAAAGGAAUUGACGGGGGCCCGCACAAGCGGCGGAGCAUGUUGCUUAAUUCGACGCAACGCGAAGAACCUUACCAAGGUUUGACAUCACCCGUGGACUCGCAGAGAUGUGAGGUCAUUUAGUUGGCGGGUGACAGGUGGUGCAUGGCUGUCGUCAGCUCGUGUCGUGAGAUGUUGGGUUAAGUCCCGCAACGAGCGCAACCCUUGUUCCAUGUUGCCAGCACGUAAUGGUGGGGACUCAUGGGAGACUGCCGGGGUCAACUCGGAGGAAGGUGGGGAUGACGUCAAGUCAUCAUGCCCCUUAUGUCUUGGGCUGCAAACAUGCUACAAUGGCCGGUACAAUGGGCGUGCGAUACCGUAAGGUGGAGCGAAUCCCUAAAAGCCGGUCUCAGUUCGGAUUGGGGUCUGCAACUCGACCCCAUGAAGGUGGAGUCGCUA